RNAcentral lists this transfer RNA (73 nucleotides) under Pyrrhoderma noxium. It matches the Rfam family "tRNA". Rfam says of the family: Transfer RNA (tRNA) molecules are approximately 80 nucleotides in length. Their secondary structure includes four short double-helical elements and three loops (D, anti-codon, and T loops). Further hydrogen bonds mediate the characteristic L-shaped molecular structure. tRNAs have two regions of fundamental functional importance: the anti-codon, which is responsible for specific mRNA codon recognition, and the 3' end, to which the tRNAs corresponding amino acid is attached (by aminoacyl-tRNA synthetases). tRNAs cope with the degeneracy of the genetic code in two manners: having more than one tRNA (with a specific anti-codon) for a particular amino acid; and 'wobble' base-pairing, i.e. permitting non-standard base-pairing at the 3rd anti-codon position. Lineage: Eukaryota; Fungi; Basidiomycota; Agaricomycetes; Hymenochaetales; Hymenochaetaceae. The record is from Rfam by way of RNAcentral.
GCUGAAAUAGUUUAAAAGGUUAAAACGUAUCACUCAUGACGAUAUAAUAAAGGUUCAAUUCCUUUUUUCGGCU